RNAcentral lists this small nucleolar RNA (78 nucleotides) under Amphibalanus amphitrite. The record is from RNAcentral. Lineage: Eukaryota; Metazoa; Arthropoda; Thecostraca; Balanomorpha; Balanidae.
UGACAAUGAUGGGAUGAAUUUCUUCACCCGACGAAACCGUGGGGAACAAAACAAACUAGCUUUUUAACACUGAGUAAA